GAUGAACGCUGGCGGCGUGCCUAAUACAUGCAAGUCGAGCGAACAGACGAGGAGCUUGCUCCUCUGACGUUAGCGGCGGACGGGUGAGUAACACGUGGAUAACCUACCUAUAAGACUGGGAUAACUUCGGGAAACCGGAGCUAAUACCGGAUAAUAUAUUGAACCGCAUGGUUCAAUAGUGAAAGACGGUUUUGCUGUCACUUAUAGAUGGAUCCGCACAGCAUUCGCUAGUUGGUAAGGUAACGGCUUACCAAGGCAACGAUGCGUAGCCGACCUGAGCGGGUGAUCGGCCACACUGGAACUGAGACACGGUCCAGACUCCUACGGGAGGCAGCAGUAGGGAAUCUUCCGCAAUGGGCGAAAGCCUGACGGAGCAACGCCGCGUGAGUGAUGAAGGUCUUCGGAUCGUAAAACUCUGUUAUUAGGGAAGAACAAAUGUGUAAGUAACUAUGCACGUCUUGACGGUACCUAAUCAGAAAGCCACGGCUAACUACGUG
RNAcentral lists this ribosomal RNA (497 nucleotides) under uncultured bacterium. RNAcentral describes it as "partial 16S ribosomal RNA". It matches the Rfam family "Bacterial small subunit ribosomal RNA", at positions 28 to 507 of the family's 1533-position model. The record is from RNAcentral.